AGUGAACGCUGGCGGUUGGCCUAACACAUGCAAGUCGAACGGCAGCACAGUAAGAGCUUGCUCUUACGGGUGGCGAGUGGCGGACGGGUGAGGAAUACAUCGGAAUCUACUUUUUCGUGGGGGAUAACGUAGGGAAACUUACGCUAAUACCGCAUACGACCUACGGGUGAAAGCAGGGGAUCUUCGGACCUUGCGCGAUUGAAUGAGCCGAUGUCGGAUUAGCUAGUUGGCGGGGUAAAGGCCCACCAAGGCGACGAUCCGUAGCUGGUCUGAGAGGAUGUUCAGCCACACUGGAACUGAGACACGGUCCAGACUCCUACGGGAGGCAGCAGUGGGGAAUAUUGGACAAUGGGCGCAAGCCUGAUCCAGCCAUACCGCGUGGGUGAAGAAGGCCUUCGGGUUGUAAAGCCCUUUUGUUGGGAAAGAAAAGCAGCAGGUUAAUACCCCGCUGUUCUGACGGUACCCAAAGAAUAAGCACCGGCUAACUUCGUG
This 492-nucleotide ribosomal RNA is filed under the name uncultured bacterium. RNAcentral describes it as "partial 16S ribosomal RNA". It matches the Rfam family "Bacterial small subunit ribosomal RNA", at positions 29 to 507 of the family's 1533-position model. The record is from RNAcentral.